RNAcentral lists this unclassified non-coding RNA (375 nucleotides) under uncultured bacterium. RNAcentral describes it as "contains 16S-23S intergenic spacer region". The record is from RNAcentral.
UCCGAGUUGACCCCGGCAGUCUCCUAUGAGUCCCCGCCAUAACGCGCUGGCAACAUAGAACGAGGGUUGCGCUCGUUGCGGGACUUAACCCAACAUCUCACGACACGAGCUGACGACAACCAUGCACCACCUGUACACCAGCCACAAGGGAACCGACAUCUCUGCCGACGUCUAGUGCAUGUCAAACCCAGGUAAGGUUCUUCGCGUUGCAUCGAAUUAAUCCACAUGCUCCGCCGCUUGUGCGGGCCCCCGUCAAUUCCUUUGAGCUUCAGCCUUGCGACCGUACUCCCCAGGCGGCAUACUUAACGCGUUAGCUCCGGCACGAACAGAAUGAACUGCUCACACCAAGUAUGCAUCGUUUAGGGCGUGGACUAC